AAGAUGCAGCUCAAGGCGGCCGAGAAGUAGUAGCCCUCCAGCUGCGCCAUCCCGCGCGGCCGCGGACCGGGCCCAGCCCCGGGCAGACGCGCGCUCAAAAAGCAGCGCGCAAGGCUCCGGCGGCGGCGGCGCCCGGACGAGUCUAUAAGCAGACCAGAAAUUUUGGAAGCAGGAGAAAGAUUGGACAGUCUGACAGAGAGGCAAGUUUGCAUGGAUGUGAUUGGCAGCCUGCCCCUGGGGAUGAAUAGAGAACACUGGAUAUUUUCCUGGACCCAUCAGUCACAUGAAGUAAAAUCCUUAUCUCUGGGGAAGUGGACAAUUUUGAUGGCAAUUAUAAUGAUUCUGAAAAGCCAUGCAAAUGUUUGGGUAGUGAUUGGACAAUAUCGCUGCUGUGUGAAGUACCAGUAUCCUAACAGGAACAGGAGUUGCUUGUUUCUGGGCUGGAAAGCCUUCACAACAUGAGGAGCCAAGCUCUAACAUCAGUGGGGGGAUAUUAUGAAGUCUAUCUGCUUGCUUCUUUUAUACUCCUACAUGUUUUUGCGUGUAUGUAUUUGAAAACAUCGCCCAAGAAGUUUACAAAAAAAAUAAAAAAGGAUUUCACUAAAUAUUGAAAAAGAAUAAUUCACACAUCAUUAUUCAAGAAUGAAAGCGAGACAUGUUGAUUUUCAAACAUGAUAGUUAUUACAGGUUCUAUGUUGUCAUCUAAAAUGCUCUAAGUGGCUCCAGAUUGGCAGGAUGUUUCAAAAUAAUGAUUUUAUUUAAAUGCAAGAGAAUUUCAGCCAGUUGUCAGUUUCUGACUGAAAAGUCCAGCUGCUAUCUGUCUUCUGACAUCUCACCUGUACAGUUCUCAUCA
Long non-coding RNA from Peromyscus maniculatus bairdii (prairie deer mouse), 853 nucleotides. RefSeq lists it as uncharacterized. The record is from RefSeq and is a predicted model, not a curated record. NCBI's taxonomy places the organism in Eukaryota, Metazoa, Chordata, Mammalia, Rodentia, Cricetidae.